Molecule: ribosomal RNA, 397 nt
Filed under: uncultured bacterium
Lineage: Bacteria
Description: partial 16S ribosomal RNA
Rfam family: Bacterial small subunit ribosomal RNA
Source: RNAcentral
AUACGUAGGGGGCGAGCGUUGUCCGGAAUGAUUGGGCGUAAAGGGCGCGUAGGCGGCCUGUUAAGUCUGGAGGGAAAGUCCUGUUUUCAAGAUGGGAAUUGCUUUGGAUACUGAUGGGCUUGAGUGCAGGAGAGGUUAUCGGAAUUCCCGGUGUAGCGGUGAAAUGCGUAGAGAUCGGGAGGAACACCAGUGGCGAAGGCGGGUAACUGGACUGCAACUGACGCUGAGGCGCGAAAGUGUGGGGAGCAAACAGGAUUAGAUACCCUGGUAGUCCACACUGUAAACGAUGAAUGCUAGGUGUAAGAGGUAUCGACCCCUUUUGUGCCGGAGUUAACACAAUAAGCAUUCCGCCUGGGGAGUACGGCCGCAAGGUUGAAACUCAAAUGAAUUGACGGGG